Molecule: ribosomal RNA, 1484 nt
Filed under: Helicobacter pylori
Lineage: Bacteria; Pseudomonadati; Campylobacterota; Epsilonproteobacteria; Campylobacterales; Helicobacteraceae
Description: bacterial SSU rRNA
Rfam family: Bacterial small subunit ribosomal RNA
Source: RNAcentral
AGAGUUUGAUCCUGGCUCAGAGUGAACGCUGGCGGCGUGCCUAAUACAUGCAAGUCGAACGAUGAAGCUUCUAGCUUGCUAGAAUGCUGAUUAGUGGCGCACGGGUGAGUAACGCAUAGGUCAUGUGCCUCUUAGUUUGGGAUAGCCAUUGGAAACGAUGAUUAAUACCAGAUACUCCCUACGGGGGAAAGAUUUAUCGCUAAGAGAUCAGUCUAUGUCCUAUCAGCUUGUUGGUAAGGUAAUGGCUUACCAAGGCUAUGACGGGUAUCCGGCCUGAGAGGGUGAACGGACACACUGGAACUGAGACACGGUCCAGACUCCUACGGGAGGCAGCAGUAGGGAAUAUUGCUCAAUGGGGGAAACCCUGAAGCAGCAACGCCGCGUGGAGGAUGAAGGUUUUAGGAUUGUAAACUCCUUUUGUUAGAGAAGAUAAUGACGGUAUCUAACGAAUAAGCACCGGCUAACUCCGUGCCAGCAGCCGCGGUAAUACGGAGGGUGCAAGCGUUACUCGGAAUCACUGGGCGUAAAGAGCGCGUAGGCGGGAUAGUCAGUCAGGUGUGAAAUCCUAUGGCUUAACCAUAGAACUGCAUUUGAAACUACUAUUCUAGAGUGUGGGAGAGGUAGGUGGAAUUCUUGGUGUAGGGGUAAAAUCCGUAGAGAUCAAGAGGAAUACUCAUUGCGAAGGCGACCUGCUGGAACAUUACUGACGCUGAUUGCGCGAAAGCGUGGGGAGCAAACAGGAUUAGAUACCCUGGUAGUCCACGCCCUAAACGAUGGAUGCUAGUUGUUGGAGGGCUUAGUCUCUCCAGUAAUGCAGCUAACGCAUUAAGCAUCCCGCCUGGGGAGUACGGUCGCAAGAUUAAAACUCAAAGGAAUAGACGGGGACCCGCACAAGCGGUGGAGCAUGUGGUUUAAUUCGAAGAUACACGAAGAACCUUACCUAGGCUUGACAUUGAGAGAAUCCGCUAGAAAUAGUGGAGUGUCUGGCUUGCCAGACCUUGAAAACAGGUGCUGCACGGCUGUCGUCAGCUCGUGUCGUGAGAUGUUGGGUUAAGUCCCGCAACGAGCGCAACCCCCUUUCUUAGUUGCUAACAGGUCAUGCUGAGAACUCUAAGGAUACUGCCUUCGUAAGGAGGAGGAAGGUGGGGACGACGUCAAGUCAUCAUGGCCCUUACGCCUAGGGCUACACACGUGCUACAAUGGGGUGCACAAAGAGAAGCAAUACUGCGAAGUGGAGCCAAUCUUCAAAACACCUCUCAGUUCGGAUUGUAGGCUGCAACUCGCCUGCAUGAAGCUGGAAUCGCUAGUAAUCGCAAAUCAGCCAUGUUGCGGUGAAUACGUUCCCGGGUCUUGUACUCACCGCCCGUCACACCAUGGGAGUUGUGUUUGCCUUAAGUCAGGAUGCUAAAUUGGCUACUGCCCACGGCACACACAGCGACUGGGGUGAAGUCGUAACAAGGUAACCGUAGGUGAACCUGCGGUUG